UGGGGAAUUUUGGACAAUGGGGGCAACCCUGAUCCAGCCAUUCCGCGUGAGUGAAGAAGGCCUUCGGGUUGUAAAGCUCUUUCAGCUGGAACGAAACGGUGCGCUCUAACAUAGCGCGCUACUGACGGUACCAGCAGAAGAAGCACCGGCUAACUACGUGCCAGCAGCCGCGGUAAUACGUAGGGUGCGAGCGUUAAUCGGAAUUACUGGGCGUAAAGCGUGCGCAGGCGGAUUGUUAAGCAAGACGUGAAAUCCCCGGGCUUAACCUGGGAAUGGCGUUUUGAACUGGCAGUCUAGACUGCGUCAGAGGGGGGUGGAAUUCCACGUGUAGCAGUGAAAUGCGUAGAGAUGUGGAGGAACACCGAUGGCGAAGGCAGCCCCCUGGGAUGACACUGACGCUCAUGUACGAAAGCGUGGGUAGCAAACA
Molecule: ribosomal RNA, 427 nt
Filed under: uncultured bacterium
Lineage: Bacteria
Description: bacterial SSU rRNA
Rfam family: Bacterial small subunit ribosomal RNA
Source: RNAcentral